RNAcentral lists this unclassified non-coding RNA (1347 nucleotides) under Hevea brasiliensis (rubber tree). Lineage: Eukaryota; Viridiplantae; Streptophyta; Magnoliopsida; Malpighiales; Euphorbiaceae. The record is from RNAcentral.
CGGACCCUCCGAACCCGGCGGAUCCUCCCGCUCUCUUGACCCACCAGAACAUACCACCUCAAACCCUUCCCGCAAGAGGAAGGUAAUCCUCCUUUCCCUCCUCUCCAUCGUCUUGAUCAUCGCCUCUGCCGUCUCCGCCACGCUUCUAAUCGGCCUACGCACCCGGGCUUCAGGCCAUCCCAGCCCAGUUGUGGCCAGGAAGCCCACCAAGGCCAUUUCUAAAACUUGCAGCAAGACGCGCUUUCCGACUCUCUGUGUUAACUCGUUGCUGGAUUUUCCUGGUUCUGAGACCGCCUCCGAGAAGGACCUCGUCCACAUUUCUUUCAAUAUGACUCUGCAGCACUUUAGCAAAGCUCUGUACCUCUCUUCGGGGAUCUCUUAUCUUCAGAUGGAUACUCAUGUACGGUCGGCCUUUGAGGACUGCCUUGAGCUGCUUGAUGAUUCCGUGGACGCGCUUUCGCGCUCGCUCUCCAUCGUCGCGCCGUCGAUGGACGGGAACACUGCUGGACAGGUACAGGCUGUCGGGUCCACUGAAGACGUGGUUACUUGGCUCAGCGCCGCGCUGACUAAUCAGGACACAUGUACGGAGGGAUUUACAGACUUAAGUGGAGCUGUAAAGGAUCAGAUGUCUGAUAAGUUGAGGGACUUAUCCGAGUUAGUGAGCAAUUGCUUGGCAAUUUUUUCGGCAACUGACAGUGACGAUUUCUUUGGCGUUCCGAUACAGAACCGGCGGAGAUUGAUGGACGCCGAAAUCUCGGAGGAAAAUGCCGAUGAUCUUCCGAGUUGGUUGGGGAGGAAAGAAAGGAGACUAUUGAACAUGCCGGUGUCGGCUAUACAGGCCGAUAUAAUCGUUUCGAAAGACGGGAACGGAACGUACAAGACGAUCACGGAGGCGAUUAAGAAGGCACCGGAGUACAACAGUCGGCGGACAAUAAUUUACGUGAGGGCAGGAAGAUACGAAGAGAAUAACUUGAAAGUGGGAAGGAAGAAGAGGAAUUUGAUGUUCAUAGGAGAUGGAAGGGGUAAAACGGUGAUUUCAGGAAGCAAAAGCGUUUACGAUAAUGUAACGACAUUCCACACUGCCUCAUUCGCUGCCACCGGAGCUGGUUUCAUUGCUCGUGACAUGACAUUUGAGAACUCAGCUGGUCCAUCCAAGCACCAAGCUGUGGCUCUCCGGGUUGGUGCUGACCAUGCUGUGGUCUAUCGUUGCAACGUCUUUGGAUAUCAAGACACUCUCUAUGUGCACUCGAAUCGCCAAUUUUACCGGGAAUGUGGCAUUUAUGGUACGGUUGAUUUCAUAUUUGGUAAUGCGGCUGUAGUGUUUCAAAAUUGCAGCAUUUACGCUCG